Molecule: transfer RNA, 66 nt
Filed under: Marmota monax (woodchuck)
Lineage: Eukaryota; Metazoa; Chordata; Mammalia; Rodentia; Sciuridae
Description: tRNA.Ala
Source: RNAcentral
GGUUGUGGCUCAGGGUAGAGCAUUUGCCUUGCGAAUGUGAGGCCCUGGGUUCGAUCCUCAGCACCA